CAAAAAAUAGUUUAAUUAAAAAUGCUAGUUUUGGGGGCUAGUGUUGGGAUUUUUAUCUCUUUUUUGA
This 67-nucleotide transfer RNA is filed under the name Teratoscincus microlepis (Small-scaled wonder gecko). Its description in RNAcentral is "tRNA-Pro". The record is from RNAcentral. Lineage: Eukaryota; Metazoa; Chordata; Lepidosauria; Squamata; Sphaerodactylidae.